GACGAACGCUGGCGGCGUGCUUAACACAUGCAAGUCGAACGGAAAGGCCCUGCUUUUGUGGGGUGCUCGAUUGGCGAACGGGUGAGUAACACGUGAGUAACCUGCCCUUGACUUUGGGAUAACUUCAGGAAACUGAGGCUAAUACCGUAUAGGAGCUCCUGCUGCAUGGUGAGGGUUGGAAAGUUUCGGCGGUUGGGGAUGGACUCGCGGCUUAUCAGCUUGUUGGUGGGGUAGUGGCUUACCAAGGCUUUGACGGGUAGCCGGCCUGAGAGGGUGACCGGCCACCUUGGGACUGAGAUACGGACCAGACUCCUACGGGAGGCAGCAGUGGGGAAUAUUGCACAAUGGGCGGAAGCCUGAUGCAGCAACGCCGCGUGCGGGAUGACGGCCUUCGGGUUGUAAACCGCUUUCGCCUGUGACGAAGCGUGAGUGACGGUAAUGGGUAAAGAAGCACCGGCUAACUACGUG
This 468-nucleotide ribosomal RNA is filed under the name uncultured bacterium. RNAcentral describes it as "partial 16S ribosomal RNA". It matches the Rfam family "Bacterial small subunit ribosomal RNA", at positions 28 to 507 of the family's 1533-position model. The record is from RNAcentral.